This is a ribosomal RNA of Ictidomys tridecemlineatus (thirteen-lined ground squirrel), 123 nucleotides long. NCBI's taxonomy places the organism in Eukaryota, Metazoa, Chordata, Mammalia, Rodentia, Sciuridae. The record is from Ensembl.
AACUGCAGUCAUAUCACUCUGAACGUGCCCAAUCUUGCCUGAUCUCAGAAGCUAAGCAGGGUCAGUCAGGCCUGGUUAAUACUUGGAUGGGAGACCACCUAGGAAUACCCCGUGCUGUAGGCU